UGGGGAAUAUUGGGCAAUGGGGGCAACCCUGACCCAGCGACGCCGCGUGGGUGAAGAAAUCCCUCGGGAUGUAAACCUCUGUUGUGUGGGAAGAAGAGCGUGACGGUACCACACGAGGAAGUCCCGGCUAACUACGUGCCAGCAGCCGCGGUAAUACGUAGGGGACGAGCGUUGUCCGGAUUUACUGGGCGUAAAGGGCGCGUAGGCGGUCAUUUAAGUCAGCUGUGAAAUGGUUUGGCUUAACCGGAUCAUGCGGUUGAAACUGGAUGACUGGAGUGCUGGAGAGGCAAGUGGAAUUCCCAGUGUAGCGGUGAAAUGCGUAGAUAUUGGGAAGAACACCGGUGGCGAAGGCGACUUGCUGGCCAGCAACUGACGCUGAGGCGCGAAAGCCAGGGGAGCAAACG
This 404-nucleotide ribosomal RNA is filed under the name uncultured prokaryote. RNAcentral's name for it is "bacterial SSU rRNA". It matches the Rfam family "Bacterial small subunit ribosomal RNA", at positions 355 to 774 of the family's 1533-position model. The record is from RNAcentral.